RNAcentral lists this ribosomal RNA (253 nucleotides) under uncultured bacterium. RNAcentral describes it as "partial 16S ribosomal RNA". It matches the Rfam family "Bacterial small subunit ribosomal RNA", at positions 524 to 776 of the family's 1533-position model. The record is from RNAcentral.
UACGUAGGUGGCAAGCGUUGUCCGGAUUUACUGGGCGUAAAGAGCGUGUAGGCGGUCCGGUAAGUCAGCUGUGAAAGUCAAGGGCUCAACCCUUGAAUGCCGGUUGAUACUGUCGGGCUAGAGUCCGGAAGAGGCGAGUGGAAUUCCCGGUGUAGCGGUGAAAUGCGUAGAUAUCAAGAGGAACACCUGAGGUGAAGACGGGUUGCUGGGCUGACACUGACGCUGAGGCGCGAAAGCCAGGGGAGCAAACGGG